AUACUCGGAAACCGGAGCUAAUACCGGAUAAUAUUUCGAACCGCAUGGUUCGAUAGUGAAAGGNGGUUUUGCUAUCACUUAUAGAUGGACCCGCGCCGUAUUAGCUAGUUGGUAAGGUAACGGCUUACCAAGGCGACGAUACGUAGCCGACCUGAGAGGGUGAUCGGCCACACUGGAACUGAGACACGGUCCAGACUCCUACGGGAGGCAGCAGGC
This 216-nucleotide ribosomal RNA is filed under the name uncultured Staphylococcus sp. RNAcentral's name for it is "partial 16S ribosomal RNA". It matches the Rfam family "Bacterial small subunit ribosomal RNA", at positions 146 to 354 of the family's 1533-position model. Lineage: Bacteria; Bacillati; Bacillota; Bacilli; Caryophanales; Staphylococcaceae. The record is from RNAcentral.